This is a long non-coding RNA of Tribolium madens (black flour beetle), 826 nucleotides long. RefSeq lists it as uncharacterized. The transcript has 2 exons. NCBI's taxonomy places the organism in Eukaryota, Metazoa, Arthropoda, Insecta, Coleoptera, Tenebrionidae. The record is from RefSeq and is a predicted model, not a curated record.
UCGAGCAUUAUUGAUUCGAAAAUCCUCAGUUUCAGCCGGUUUCAGUCAGAAACGCGCCUAAACAAGGACGAAAAACGAAAUGUGGGUCAGAAUUCAGUGGUGGUGUGCGUUUUAGUCCUGUCCUGAACACUGCUUUCGCUGCAGGAAAAUAACGCCAACGUUAGUGCGACGAGUGCCACCGAAGAAAGCGCACAUUCACAAGAAAACAAACACAAAACCGUGCAAAAAUGACGUCUCCGGCAAUCAACGGCCAGAAAGAAAAUUCCAAGACCGACUCAAACGUGACUUUAUCCCAACAACAACAACAACAACAACAACAACAACAGGCCCAACAACCAUCAACGUCGAUUUUCGUCGCUUGGUGGCGAGUUUUUAAACUAGCAAACCUCUUGAUCAAGCAAAGUUGUUAGAUUAUGACGAGAUAUCAGGGCCGUAUGCACGAAAACGUCCCAAAAUCACCGAUUUUCGUACAAACGACCGCUAGUAGAUUAAAAAAAAAUUAUAGUAGAAUUCCUGUAACCUUUUAAUUAGUAAUGUGACGAGUUUCGAGCAAGAUCCCUUGAUGGUGGCACACAGUACAAGUUCUUCCAUCUUGCAUUAAUUUUAAUUCAUCAAUUAAUAACAAAUUGAACACCACGUGUGGUGGUACAAUAAACAUGGCCGCCCCUUUAAUGAUAGCUAUAUUUUCACAUCAUGUGUUGUGUUAUCACACGAAAUAUACCAUAACCCGUAUGUGAUAGAAAACAAUUAUCAUAAAUUUAUAUCGUGUUUUGGGUGAUAGAGUGAGUGGUCUCGAUUUUAUUUAAAUAAAUGUUAUCCACUGUUA